RNAcentral lists this unclassified non-coding RNA (340 nucleotides) under soil metagenome. RNAcentral's name for it is "partial contains 5.8S ribosomal RNA, internal transcribed spacer 2, and large subunit ribosomal RNA". The stretch from base 1 to 120 matches the Rfam family "5.8S ribosomal RNA", at positions 35 to 154 of the family's 154-position model. The record is from RNAcentral.
GAUGAAGAACGUAGCGAAAUGCGAUAAGUAGUGUGAAUUGCAGAAUUCAGUGAAUCAUCGAAUCUUUGAACGCACAUUGCGCCCCUUGGUAUUCCAUGGGGCAUGCCUGUUCGAGCGUCAUUUGUACCCUCAAGCUUUGCUUGGUGUUGGGUGUUUGUCCCGCGCUCUUUUGCGCAAGACUCGCCUUAAUCAAUUGGCAGCCGGCAUGUUAGCCUGGAGCGCAGCACAUUUUGCGCCCCUUGCUUGCUUGUGUUGGCCCCCAUCAAGUCCAUAUAUUUGCUCUUGACCUCGGAUCAGGUAGGGAUACCCGCUGAACUUAAGCAUAUCAAUAAGCGGAGGA